Molecule: ribosomal RNA, 468 nt
Filed under: uncultured bacterium
Lineage: Bacteria
Description: bacterial SSU rRNA
Rfam family: Bacterial small subunit ribosomal RNA
Source: RNAcentral
AGAGUUUGAUCCUGGCUCAGAUUGAACGCUGGCGGCAUGCCUUACACAUGCAAGUCGAACGGCAGCGCGGGAGCAAUCCUGGCGGCGAGUGGCGAACGGGUGAGUAAUAUAUCGGAACGUGCCCUGGAGUGGGGGAUAACUAGUCGAAAGACUAGCUAAUACCGCAUACGAUCUAAGGAUGAAAGUGGGGGAUCGCAAGACCUCAUGCUCCUGGAGCGGCCGAUAUCUGAUUAGCUAGUUGGUGGGGUAAAAGCUCACCAAGGCGACGAUCAGUAGCUGGUCUGAGAGGACGACCAGCCACACUGGGACUGAGACACGGCCCAGACUCCUACGGGAGGCAGCAGUGGGGAAUUUUGGACAAUGGGGGCAACCCUGAUCCAGCAAUGCCGCGUGUGUGAAGAAGGCCUUCGGGUUGUAAAGCACUUUUGUCAGGAAAGAAAUCGCUCUGGCUAAUAUCCGGAGUGGAUG